UUAGGGUUAGGGGUUAGGGUUAGAUUUAGGGUUAGGGUUAGGGUUAUGGUUGAGGCUAGGGUUAGGGUUAGGGUUAGGGUUAUAGUUGAGGCUAGGGUUAGGGUUAGGGUUAUGGUUGAGGCUAGGGUUAGGGUUAGGGUUGAGGCUAGGGUUAGGGUUAGGGUUAGGGUUAUGGUUGAGGCUAGGGUUAGGGUUAGGGUUAUGGUUGAGGCUAGGGUUAGGGUUAGGGUUGAGGCUAGGGUUAGGGUUAGGGUUAGGGUUAUGGUUGAGGCUAGGGUUAGGGUUAGGGUUAUGGUUGAGGCUAGGGUUAGGGUUAGGGUUAGGGUUAUGGUUGAGGCUAGGGUUAGGGUUAGGGUUAGGGUUGAGGCUAGGGUUAGGGUUAGGGUUAGGGUUAUGGUUGAGGCUAGGGUUAGGGUUAGGGUUAGGGUUAUGGUUGAGGCUAUGGUUAGGGUUAGGGUUGAGACUAGGGUUAGGGUUAGGGUUAUAGUUGAGGCUAGGGUUAGGGUUAGGGUUAGGGUUAGGGUUAUGGUUGAGGCUAGGGUUAGGGUUAGGGUUAUAGUUGAGGCUAGGGUUAGGGUUAGGGUUAUGGUUGAGGCUAGGGUUAGGGUUAGGGUUAGGGUUAUGGUUGAGGCUAGGGUUAGGGUUAGGGUUAGGGUUAUGGUUGAGGCUAGGGUUAGGGUUAGGGUUGAGGACUAGGGUUAGGGUUAGGGUUAUGGUUGAGGCUAGGGUUAGGGUUAGGGUUAGGGUUAGGGUUAUGGUUGAGGCUAGGGUUAGGGUUAGGGUUAGGGUUGAGGCUAAGGUUAGGGUUAGGGUUAGGGUUGAGACUAGGGUUAGGGUUAGGGUUAUGGUUGAGGCUAGGGUUAGGGUUAGGGUUAGGGUUAUGGUUGAGGCUAGGGUUAGGGUUAGGGUUAUGGUUGAGGCUAGGGUUAGGGUUAGGGUUAGGGUUGAGGCUAGGGUUAGGGUUAGGGUUAUGGUUGAGGCUAGGGUUAGGGUUAGGGUUAGGGUUGAGACUAGGGUUAGGGUUAGGGUUAGGGUUAUAGUUGAGGCUAGGGUUAGGGUUAGGGUUAUGGUUGAGGCUAGGGUUAGGGUUAGGGUUGAGGCUAGGGUUAGGGUUAGGGUUAGGGUUAUGGUUGAGGCUAGGGUUAGGGUUAGGGUUAGGGUUGAGGCUAGGGUUAGGGUUAGGGUUAUGGUUGAGGCUAGGGUUAGGGUUAGGGUUAUGGUUGAGGCUAGGGUUAGGGUUAGGGUUGAGGGUAGAGGCUAGGGUUAGGGUUAGGGUUAGGGUUAGGGUUAGGGUUAUGGUUGAGGCUAGGGUUAGGGUUAGGGUUAUGGUUGAGGCUAGGGUUAGGGUUAGGGUUAGGGUUAUAGUUGAGGCUAGGGUUAGGGUUAGGGUUAUGGUUGAGGCUAGGGUUAGGGUUAGGGUUAGGGUUAUGGUUGAGGCUAGGGUUAGGGUUAGGUUUAGGGUUAGGGUUAUGGUUGAGGCUAUGGUUAGGGUUAGGGUUGAGACUAGGGUUAGGGUUAGGGUUGAGACUAGGGUUAGGGUUAGGGUUAUAGUUGAGGCUAGGGUUAGGGUUAGGGUUAGGGUUAGGGUUAUGGUUGAGGCUAGGGUUAGGGUUAGGGUUAGGGUUGAGGCUAAGGUUAGGGUUAGGGUUAUGGUUGAGACUAGGGUUAGGGUUAGGGUUAUAGUUGAGGCUAGGGUUAGGGUUAGGGUUAUGGUUUAGGCUAGGGUUAGGGUUAUGGUUGAGGCUAGGGUUAGGGUUAGGGUUAGGGUUGAGGCUAGGGUUAGGGUUAGGGUUAUGGUUGAGGCUAGGGUUAGGGUUAGGGUUAGGGUUGAGACUAGGGUUAGGGUUAGGGUUAGGGUUAGGGUUGAGGCUAAGGUUAGGGUUAGGGUUAUGGUUGAGGCUAGGGUUAGGGUUAGGGUUGAGGCUAGGGUUAGGGUUAGGGUUAGGGAUAUGGUUGAGGCUAGGGUUAGGGUUAGGGUUGAGGCUAGGGUUAGGGUUAGGGUUAUGGUUGAGGCUAGGGUUAGGGUUAGGGUUAUGGUUGAGGCUAGGGUUAGGGUUAGGGUUAGGGUUGAGGCUAGGGUUAGGGUUAGGGUUAGGGUUAUGGUUGAGGCUAGGGUUAGGGUUAGGGUUAGGGUGGUUAGGGCUAGGGUUAGGGUUAGGGUUAGGGUUAUGGUUGAGGCUAGGGUUAGGGUUAGGGUUAGGGUUAUGGUUGAGGCUAGGGUUAGGGUUAGGGUUAUGGUUGAGGCUAUGGUUAGGGUUAGGGUUGAGACUAGGGUUAGGGUUAGGGUUGAGACUAGGGUUAGGGUUAGGGUUAUAGUUGAGGCUAGGGUUAGGGUUAGGGUUAGGGUUAGGGUUAGGGUUAUGGUUGAGGCUAGGGUUAGGGUUAGGGUUGAGGCUAAGGUUAGGGUUAGGGUUAGGGUUGAGACUAGGGUUAGGGUUAGGGUUAUAGUUGAGGCUAGGGUUAGGGUUAGGGUUAUGGUUGAGGCUAGGGUUAGGGUUAGGGUUAUGGUUGAGGCUAGGGUUAGGGUUAGGGUUAGGGUUAGGGUUGAGGCUAGGGUUAGGGUUAGGGUUAGGGUUAUGGUUGAGGCUAGGGUUAGGGUUAGGGUUGAGACUAGGGUUAGGGUUAGGGUAAGGGUUGAGACUAGGGUUAGGGUUAGGGUUAGGGUUAAAGUUGAGGCUAGGGUUAGGGUUAGGGUUAUGGUUGAGGCUAGGGUUAGGGUUAGGGUUGAGGCUAGGGUUAGGGUUAGGGUUAUGGUUGAGGCUAGGGUUAGGGUUAGGGUUGAGGCUAAGGUUAGGUUUAGGGUUUUGGUUGAGGCUAGGGUUAGGGUUAGGGUUAGGGUUAGGGUUAUGGUUGAGGCUAGGGUUAGGGUUAGGGUUAUGGUUGAGGCUAGGGUUAGGGUUAGGGUUAGGGUUAGGGUUGAGGCUAGGGUUAGGGUUAGGGUUAUGGUUGAGGCUAGGGUUAGGGUUAGGGUUAUGGUUGAGGCUAGGGUUAGGGUUAGGGUUAUGGUUGAGGCUAGGGUUAGGGUUAGGGUUAGGGUUGAGGCUAGGGUUAGGGUUAGGGUUGAGGCUAGGGUUAGGGUUAGGGUUAGGGUUAGGGUUAUAGUUGAGGCUAGGGUUAGGGUUAGGGUUAGGGUUAGGGUUAUGGUUGAGGCUAGGGUUAGGGUUAGGGUUGAGGCUAAGGUUAGGGUUAGGGUUAGGGUUGAGACUAGGGUUAGGGUUAGGGUUAUAGUUGAGGCUAGGGUUAGGGUUAGGGUUAUGGUUGAGGCUAGGGUUAGGGUUAGGGUUAUGGUUGAGGCUAGGGUUAGGGUUAGGGUUAGGGUUAGGGUUGAGGCUAGGGUUAGGGUUAUGGUUGAGGCUAGGGUUAGGGUUAGGGUUAGGGUUGAGACUAGGGUUAGGGUUAGGGUUAAAGUUGAGGCUAGGGUUAGGGUUAGGGUUAUGGUUGAGGCUAGGGUUAGGGUUAGGGUUGAGGCUAGGGUUAGGGUUAGGCUUAGGGUUAUGGUUGAGGCUAGGGUUAGGGUUAGGGUUGAGACUAGGGUUAGGGUUAGGGUUGAGACUAGGGUUAGGGUUAGGGUUAGGGUUAAAGUUGAGGCUAGGGUUAGGGUUAGGGUUAUGGUUGAGGCUAGGGUUAGGGUUAGGGUUGAGUCUAGGGUUAGGGUUAGGGUUAUGGUUGAGGCUAGGGUUAGGGUUAGGGUUAGGGUUGAGGCUAGGGUUAGGGUUAGGGUUAUAGUUGAGGCUAGGGUUAGGGUUAGGUUUAGGGUUUUGGUUGAGGCUAGGGUUAGGGUUAGGGUUAGGGUUAUGGUUGAGGCUAGGGUUAGGGUUAGGGUUAUGGUUGAGGCUAGGGUUAGGGUUAGAGUUAGGGUUAGGGUUGAGGCUAGGGUUAGGGUUAGGGUUAUGGUUGAGGCUAGGGUUAGGGUUAGGGUUAGGGUUAUGGUUGAGGCUAGGGUUAGGGUUAGGGUUAGGGUUAUGGUUGAGGCUAGGGUUAGGGUUAGGGUUGAGGCUAGGGUUAGGGUUAGGGUUGAGGCUAGGGUUAGGGUUAGGGUUAUAGUUGAGGCUAGGGUUAGGGUUAGGGUUAGGGUUAGGGUUAGGGUUAUGGUUGAGGCUAGGGUUAGGGUUAGGGUUGAGGCUAAGGUUAGGGUUAGGGUUGAGGCUAGGGUUAGGGUUAUAGUUGAGGCUAGGGUUAGGGUUAGGGUUAUGGUUGAGGCUAGGGUUAGGGUUAGGGUUAUGGUUGAGGCUAGGGUUAGGGUUAGGGUUAGGGUUAGGGUUGAGGCUAGGGUUAGGGUUAUGGUUGAGGCUAGGGUUAGGGUUAGGGUUGAGACUAGGGUUAGGGUUAGGGUUAGGGUUAAAGUUGAGGCUAGGGUUAGGGUUAGGGUUAUGGUUGAGGCUAGGGUUAGGGUUAGGGUUGAGGCUAGGGUUAGGGUUAGGGUUAGGGUUAUGGUUAUGGUUGAGGCUAGGGUUAGGGUUAGGGUUAUGGUUGAGGCUAGGGUUAGGGUUAGGGUUAGGGUUGAGGCUAGGGUUAGGGUUAGGGUUAGGGUUGAGGCUAGGGUUAGGGUUAGGGUUAUAGUUGAGGCUAGGGUUAGGGUUAUUGUUGAGGCUAGGGUUAGGGUUAGGCUUAUGGUUGAGGCCAGGGUUAGGGUUAGGGUUAGGGUUGAGGCUAGGGUUAGGGCUAGGGUUAGGGUCAGGGUUAUGGUUGAGGCUAGGGUUCGGGUUAGGGUUAGGGUUAUGGUUGAGGCUAGUGUUAGGGUUAUGGUUGAGGCUAGGGUUAGGGUUAGGGUUAUGUUUGAGGCUAGGGUUAGGGUUAUGGUUGAGGCUAGGGUUAGGGUUAGGGUUAUGUUUGAGGCUAGGGUUAGGGUUAGGUUUAUGGUUGAGGCUAGGGUUAGGGUUAGGGUUAGGGUUAUGGUUGAGGCUAGGGUUAGGGUUAGGGUUAGGGUUGAGGCUAGGGUUAGGGUUAGGGUUAUGGUUUGGGCUAGGGUUAGGGUUGAGGCUAGGGUAAGGGUUAGGGUUAAGGUUAGGGUUAUGGUUGAGGCUAGGGUUAGGGUUAGGGUUAUAGUUGAGGCAAGGGUUAGGGUUAGGGUUAUGGUUGAGGCUAGGGUUAGGGUUAGGGUUAGGGUUAUGGUUGAGGCUAGGGUUAGGGUUAGGGUUAUGGUUGAGGCUAGGGUUAGGGUUAGGGUUAUGGUUGAGGCUAGGGUUAGGGUUAGGGUUAGGGUUGAGGAAUGGGUUAGGGUUAGGGUUAUGGUUGAGGCUAGGGUUAGGGUUAGGGUUAGGGGUAUGGUUGAGGCUAGGGUUAGGGUUAGGGUUAUAGUUGAGGUUAGGGUUAGGGUUAGGGUUAUGGUUGAGGCUAGGGUUAGGGUUAGGGUUAGGGUUAUGGUUGAGGUUAGGGUUAGGGUUAUGGUUGAAGCUAGCGUUAGGGUUAGGGUUGAGGCUAGGGUUAGGGUUAGGGUUGAGGCUAGGGUUAGGGUUAGGGUUUAGGCUAGGGUUAGGGUUAGGGUUAUGGUUGAGGCUAGGGUUAGGGUUAGGGUUAGGGUUAUGGUUGAGGCUAGGGUUAGGGUUAGGGUUAUUGAGGCUAGGGUUAGGGUUAGGGUUAGGGUUAGGGUUAUGGUUGAGGCUAGGGUUAGGGUUAGGGUAAGGGUUAGGGUUGAGGCUAGGGUUAGGGUUAUGGUUAGGGUUAUGGUUAGGGUUAUGGUUGAGGCUAGGGUUAGGGUUAUAGUUGAGGCUAGGGUUAGGGUUAGGGUUAUGGUUGAGGCUAGGGUUAGGGUAAGGGUUAGGGUUGAGGCUAGGGUUAGGGUUAGGGUUAGGGUUAGGGUUAUGGUUGAGGCUAGGGUUAGGGUUAGGGUUAUACUUGAGGCUAGGGUUAGGGUUAGGGUUAUGGUUGAGGCUAGGGUUAGGUUUAGGGUUAGGGUUGAGGCUAGGGUUAGGGUUAGGGUUAGGGUUAGGGUUAUGGUUGAGGCUAGGGUUAGGGUUAGGGUUAUACUUGAGGCUAGGGUUAGGGUUAGGGUUAUGGUUGAGGCUAGGGUUAGGGUUAGGGUUAGGGUUGAGGGUUAGGGUUAGGGUUGAGGCUAGGGUUAGGGUUAGGGUUAUAGUUGAGGCUAGGGUUAGGGUUAGGGUUAUGGUUAAGGCUAGGGUUAGGGUUAGGGUUAUUGUUGAGGCUAGGGUUAGGGUUAGGCUUAUGGUUGAGGCUAGGGUUAGGGUUAGGGUUAGGGUUGAGGCUAGGGUUAGGGCUAGGGUUAGGGUCAGGGUUAUGGUUGAGGUUAGGGUUCGGGUUAGGGUUAGGGUUAUGGUUGAGGCUAGGGUUAGGGUUAUGGUUGAGGCUAGGGUUAGGGUUAGGGUUAUGUUUGAGGCUAGGGUUAGGGUUAGGGUUAUGGUUGAGGCUAGGGUUAGGGUUACAGUUGUGGUUGAAGCUAAGGUUAGGGUUAGGGUUAUGGUUGAGGCUAGGGUUAGGGUUAGGGUUAGGGUUGAUGCUCGUUUUAGGGUUAGGAUUCUGGUUGAGGCUAGGGUUAGGGUUAGGGUUAGGGUUAUGGUUGAGGCUAGGGUUAGGGUUAGGUUUAUGUGUGGGUAAGAGAUACAGUGAUAGCCCCCGCUUUCGUCUGUUUACUUGGCGGUUUGGGGUAGGCUAAUCAAGGGCUUGCACUGGCCGGCGCAUGUCGACCUGUCACAUGUUCCCAGUCGAGUCUCCGAGCUCAAUCUGUGUGUAAAAAUUAUAAAAAGAGGGUGGGGUGAUUAAGUUAAGAUAGAGGUUAAUAAGGUUAGGGUUAGGGUUAGGGGUCAGGGUUAGAUUUAGGAUUUAGAGGUUAGGGUUAGGGUUAGGGUUAGAUUUAGGGUUUAGGGGUUAGGGUUAGGGUUAGGGUAAGGGUUAGGGUUAGAUUUAGGGCUUAGAGGUUAGGGUUAGGGUAAGGGUUAGGGUUAGAUUUAGGGGUUAGGGUAAGGGUUAGGGGUUAGGGGUAGAUUUAGGGUUUAGAGGUUAGGGUCAGGGUUGGGGUUCGGGGUUAGGGUUUGAUUUAGGUUCUAGAGGUUAGGGUUAGGGUGAGGGUGAUGGUUAGGGUUAGUGCCUGUAGGGAGCUAACCAUGGCUAUUUGGAAGAAUUGAAAUUCAUCAAGGAAUAUGACACUUCAGAUUGUCUAGACUCAGGACCCUUUGCUCUGUUAAAGGUAGCAAAGCUAUGGUUGAAAGUAAUGAAAAUGCAGUAUAAAAUAUAUAAGGUUAGUUACAAAUUGUUAUUGAUAAAGUAUUAUUUCAGAGUCAAAAGUGGAUGGUCCUGUCUAGAACUCUCUUCCACUCAGGCCUGUGUAGGCCAAAGACUCUGCGGGUUAGGAUUAGGGUUAGGGUUCAGGUUAGGCCUAGGAGAUGCAGAAGUGCAAUAAUGCUCUGUAAUGUUCUGUUCGAUGUACAGAGCUGACAGCCCACAUUUGGCUUGAGCGUGUGAUGAUGUUUCCAGCUUUUCUAGCCAGUCAGAGGCGAGGAGGUGGGACUUUCCCCUACCCUCCUACAAAAAAACAUAUUGCCUCUCGGGUGAGCUACGCGAUCUUCGUACACCCAUAGGCUGUAUCAAGUCUCACAGUGUCAUAGAAAACAUGAACCCCCUGAUAACUUUUAAAAUUUUCUUCUGCUUUGUGCCGAUAAUAAUUUUUCUGUACAGAAAAAAGAGGACUUGAGCACAAACCAGUCUCACAGUAAAUACAUGUCAACAUCACAAGCAGGGGGGAGAAAAAUGUAUAUUCUGUGUAAUAAAUUUCCAAAGUUUGUCCACAGCUCUAUAAGUUUUGCAGGCGGAGGCGGGAUUUAUGACCUAUACUGCAGCCCGUCACCAGAGGGUGCUGUUCUCGGAGUGGCUUCACCCAUAGAGGAGGCAGACUCUGUCCAUUCUCCAUACAGUCUAUGGUUUAGAGAUGAGGGUUUCAAAUCCAAUCAGUGAUUCCCACUGCAGAGUCUUGGCUGUUUUAAAUGCAGCGCUGCCUGAGGGCUUGCAGCUCAAGGCUGACCAGUAUUGAUUUUGGUCCUCAACCCUUUUGGACAGUUUCUCCACAUUCUCUGAGUCUUUUAAUGUUAUUACUGUAGAAAUCUUUUUUUCUCUUUCUGGCUGUUUUUCUUAAAAGUUCAACUCUGAAUCACAUUUUCUUCAUUUUCUUUCUCAUCCAGACACAGUUUGCUUUUUUAUCUAUUCAAUGAACUCACUGUUGGGUGUGGGCAUCCAACGAUAAAUGUGAGUGUGAAAAGUUUUUUUUUCUCUCUUACUGUUUGUCUUCUUCAUGGAGUCUGUGCUAAGGAUCACUGAAUAAAUGAUGGUUGACUCUCAGCAUGAAGCUGCAUAUGUGUGUGCUUCGCUCUCAUGAAAUGAAGCAGAGCCUCACUCUGACAUCUGCUUUAAAAGACCGCGGUUCCUCUGAUUCUCCACAUGAACCUCCUAACAGAUUAAUGAGCUGCUUUGUUGUUCACAGCUCCUUCAGUCCUCCUACCUGACGAGUGUGUGAGAUGAAAAGCAAAGAGAGAAACAGGAGCAUGCAGCUGUAAGUGCUGCUGCUGAUCUAAUCAGACUGUGGAGUGAGAUACCAAAAGCAGAUCCAGAGCUCACCGUGUGGUCAGAGGAUGAUGUCAGAGUAAAUACUGUAAACCUGUUACCUACAUGAAUAGGACAUGAUGUACACUUGAAUAUUUAAAGAAGCAUGUUCAUAUAUCAAAAGAUUUAUUCAAGUACUUUAUCGUAGUUCUGGAUCAGUAUGUUUGUGAUCAUCAGCCUCAAAGUUUACAGAUCUAAAUAAUCGUUCUCACACUUUUAUGGGAUCAAACUCAACUACAAACAACAAUUCUAAGUGGAUUUCUAUUUUUAGUCGUUUUUGCACGAUCUAUUUGUCCCCCUGAGGGCAGGAUGAAGAAUGUGAACGUGACAAAGUACAUGGUGUACAAACAUAGACUGUAUAUAGAAUGGACAGCGUCUGUCUCCUUGCUGUGUGAAGCCCCCCUGAGAACAGUACCCACUGGUGACGGGCUGCAGUAUAGGUCAUAAAUCCCGCCUCCUCCAGCAAUCCCUAUGGAGCUGUGGACAAACUUUAGACAUUUAUUAUACAGAACAUACAUUUUUCUCCCCACUGCUUGCGAUGUUGACAUGUAGUUACUGUCAGACUGGUUUGUGUUCAAGUCCUCUUUUUUUCUGUACAGCUCAAUUUUUACCCGGGGGAUACGCUCUUUGAGCCGAGUGUCAUCACAGCGACUCUCGGCGACUCACCUGCCAGAUGGUGGAAGGCAGAACAAAGUUGUCCAUAAUAUACAGUCUACAGAGCUGCCAAGCAUCACUCUUUAAGUGCGAGAGUCACGCAAUUUGACCCAUUCUCACACCACACGCCACACUUGACAUUUCUCACACUGAUAUUCCCCCAUUGCAUGGAGGUGAGGACAUCAGUCUUAAGGUAUAAAUCCUCGUUAAAAAAGUUUAACAAUUUUUCGCCGCCAGCCGAACACAUCAUAACGUUAAAGUCUCACUCUUAUAAUUUUCUACAACUUGGCAGCCAUACAGUCUAUGUGUGCAAGUAAUGCAACCCUAUAAGAUUCUUGAACUUUAAGACUUCUUUCAUGUUUUCUUUCUUUCUUAAAGGAUCAAUAUAUUACAUCUCAACUUAUUUAUCUAAUAUACCAUCAACAGUUUAUGCCCAAUACUCUCCAGAACUCUUGACAGUUAACUACUGCUAGGAUACUCUUCUGAUGUAGGUUUUUUUUUACAGAAACUGUACAAAGACAUCACUCAUUCAUAACAGUUUCUAAUGAGAGUAAGUUCAACAUCAUUAUUUUACUGUUGAUGGAAAAUCUGACCCUUAUGAUCCAGAAAGUAAUGAUUAAUCCUGGGUUUGUAAAUUAGAUUUUAAUCUUAGAGAUUAAGAAAAGCAUCUUUUGCAUCUUUAAUUUCCUUUUUUUCUUUGGACUCUUUUGUUUUAAUUUUUUUUUUUUUACACAGUCAUUAAUCCAAGUUUGAGUUGUAACCGUUUACUCACAGCUCAUCAGGGGCCAGAGGAAACAGCCCACCACCUCCACCCCCUCUCUCUCUGGAGGAUUGAUUUCACUUCAUAAAUCGAGUGAACACUCAGUUCAUAUCAACAAACAAAGCUUUCAAUGCUGCAGGCUGUUAUCAGCAUCAUGGGAAUUCAAUCAGCUAGAGAUAGUGACUUUUUUUACAACAUUUAUUUCGCUGAGAAUACUCUGAAUUUUGAUUUUAGGAUAUAAAAAUGUGUUUGUUAAUAAUCUCUGACUUUGUUUUGAAUCCUUGACAUGACCUCUUUAAAAAGUAGGCUCCUCAGUCAGUGUGUGCAGGUUACUUAUUUAUACAUGCACGUACACAGAUGUGUCAAUUAUUCAUAGAUGUUUAUUAUUGACUAUGUACCAUAUGUUCUCACAUGUGCGCACAUGAUCCUCGAAGGAUGUUGCAAUACAGGAAAGAAACUUAUUAUUGGAAAUAAAUUAAUCAAAUGAUGAUUACAGAAGUAGAGUAGAUGAUGAAAGCUUUGAGUUACGAGGAAAGCCAACGCUAAUAAGUUUACUUGAGUUGACUGUGCUUUAUGUUGUCAUGUGAGACAUGCAGUUUAACAUGGGUCUGUCUGUGUGACAAAUAGCUGAGGAUUUAUUCAUUGGACAUGGAGGAGGCAGCUGAAGGAUGAGCCAGUGAUUGAUCACUUGGAUCGUUAUGAAGAGUUUAUCACUGCAGUCGCUCCGCUCUAAUGAGAAACGUCCACCCGACAAACAAAUAAAGAUGAUUAACACCGGGCUCAGCUUCAUACACUAACAUCCUCAAAACAUCAGGGGGGCUCUAAAUUUCUGUCUGUGCAGGGGAACUGCAAAUCAGAUCUUGGGGUCAAACAUACUAAAGUAUUAAUUCUUUCCUUCCAGCUUCUCCAUGUGGAGGUCAGGUUUAGAGGCUUUAGGAAGAUAUUUCUGGCUUAAAGAGAAUUAAAAGACUCAGUUUCUGUAGUGAAAUUUAUAACUUUACCCUCAGACGCAGGAGACUUAGGAGACUCCGAUAACUUUAACUGAGAUAGUUUAUGUAAAACAUGAUUAAUAAAAAUAACGCAGGGUGGCCGACAAGGGCAAACGAUAUGAACAGCCUGAACAAUCUUCAAGAGAAACACACCACAAAUGCAGAAAGACACAACCUCAAAACGGCUUGUAAAAGUCCAAAACAAACAGGACAGAGGAAACCUGAAGCAAAUUAAUGCCCCUCAACAGAUGUUUCUUGACAGCAGGAACUUUAUCCUAGAACUAAGGACCUUUUGAGGAACCAAGUGCGUCUGUUAUGCAGGAACUCUCGGGUCUUAAAUUAGUUGAUUCACCCCUAAAGUAGCUGCGUUUACAUGGGCACAAAUCUUCGGAAUAAAUGCUUGAUCGGAAUAAAAAUGCGUCAUGUAAACAUGUCGAUCAGAAGAUUCUGAUCCAAUUCAGCUCAAUCGGAAAGAAAUUGUAUUCCAAUCGAGAGGGGUGGAUUAUGUCGUUAUUCCGAAACGCGUCCAUGUAAACACUUAUUACUCUUCACUCUUUAUUUGUUGAGGCCAGUACAGGAGGUUUCAUUAUUAACACUCUUGCAUAAAACACAACCGUAUGUGCCGUGUCUACUCCUCUGGUAACAUAACAAGGUGUACAUACAGCGUAAUGACGUCACAUCUGCACGCGCAGUGCAACCUUUGACAGAACAGUAAAAUAAGUAUGUAAGGGCGCCAUCUAGUGACAACAUUUAACAUGGGGAAAACUCCUGAACUGGAUGGAGUAAGGCACUACCGCGUUUGUUGGUUUGUUGACAGCACAGGCGUAAAUACAACUCUUCUUCUGCGUUUUUUUUAGUAAAAUCAGACAAGUCUGCGUAUGUCCAAAUGCUUCUAAUCUGAACGAAACUUGGUGCAUAUAUACGCACGUCAUGAUCGGAUUAUUUAUUUCGUACCCUUAUAAACAGUGGAUUCAGAUUAUUGGAUCCCUCAAAUUUUUAAUCAGAUCAAGAAGUUUUGCACAUGUAAACGCAGCUAGUGCCCCUUAUCAAUGGGACAGUACUUUCUAAUGGCCUCUUGACUUUGAAGGGCAGGGUCUAAAAGCUCAUUGAAUCAGCAUCUGAACUUUUUGAAAACACAGCAGUUUGGAGGCUUUACUUUCUACACUUUACCAUGAGAGAGUAGCCAAAAUUUGGUGUAAGCUCAUGGUAUUGUCCACCCCUAAAAAAAAUCAGUGCCCCAGUUUGGCCACCCCAGUGACAAGCUCCUGGUUCUGCCAUCGCAGAGUAAUCUUAAAGUGGAUUUAACAGAUAGGAAGUCUAAAACUCACAUCUUUGAAAAUACUGAGUUUCUAUCACAGCUUCUGAUAUUUAAAAAGGAGGCUACUCUCGACACAAACUGGAGCUGAGUGGAGUCUAAAUGACUCAUCUUCCUAGUAUAAACAAACACUUCCAGCGGACUAGCUCUGAUCUUUAAGACUUGUUUUAAGAUGAUCAUUACAGAUCACGUUGCAGACUUUACAGCCUGUUUUACUGCUGCAGGCUAAAGAAAUCUACAAAAAUCUUCAAACAUCUUUAUUACAACACAAACUGUGCAUACUGAAAAGGGAGGAAAGUACACUUGUUUCUUUUCAGUACAAACAUCCAAAACCACAAUGUCACCCGGGUUUAAUUAACACUUCUCACAACACUGUUAUUGUGAGAACAACACUGGACUCAAACAGAUCUCUGUUUUUUAACUAGUUUUGGUUUUAAAUAUAUUUAAGGUUCAUAAAAAACUAAAAUGAACUAACAGUCGUGUUUUCAUCACAGUAGAGGAUCUUCACUUUUGGGGAUCAAAUUACCUUGAAAAUAAUCUGCGAAUAGGGGAGUGUUUUUAGCAGAUUUUAUCAAAAGUUAAUUUCCUCCUGUUGGGAAACUUAAAGAAACAUCACCUUUAUGCUGCUUUUCACCACAGCAGCAGAUGUUUUGCAGAGGAUCCUUGUCUCUGUGUUUGAUAUAAACUUGAUAUCAUAUGUAAUAUUCAUGACGCCCUCCUCUCUGUUUCUGUGGGGGUUGAAAUAUAAAGCUGGAGUGUAUGAAGUGAGAAGGUACGGCGGCUGAGAGGCUGGCACUGCUCUACAACAAAACAUACCCCGGAUUAAAAAUAACAAGCUGACAUGGACGAGUGUCAUUGUUCAGCUGCAUUCAGAGCACAACAAAGGAUGGAGGUAGAGACAGGAUGGCUCUUGAUCUAAUUGGACCGUGAUGAUUAAAUCCUGAAUGUAAUUAUGAUAAUUACGAUCCACUUUCAGACACUUCAUGGCAUGACUGCUGGCAGGGAUUCAAACUGAAAUACAUCAUACAGACUGACUUCAACCUGUGCUGAAUAAUGAACAAAAUAAACUAUCAAUGACAUUCUUUGCAUUUUAAAAUUAAAUAUUUAACACUUUCCCAUGAGAUGAUAUUCUUCUAUUGUGUUUCUUAUAUGUGCGUUUGCUUUGCUUUACUUUAGCAAACACCCUGACCUAUUAGCCUUAAUAUUACAUUGGUUUAAUAUACUUUAGGGUUGUCUGAUGUUUUAAAUGAGUUUAUUUACUCAUUUAUUUGUUUAGGUUUUUAUCUAUAAUGCAGAUUUUUGUCCUGUUUUAUUAUUCUGUCUGGAUUUUUAGUGUUCUAUCCUUUGGUGUUUUAUUCUCCCAUCUUGUAUUUUCUAUGGUAUGUUUUAUUUGCUUAUUUAUUUAGAUUUGACUGUUUUUUUAAUAUUAUUUAUUAUGGCAUUUAAUUAAUUUAUUUAUGUUCUCAAUCUGCUAUUUUGAAUUUUAAAAUUUCAAUUAAUUUAUCAUUAUUUUUAUUGUAUAUUUGUUGUGCUGCCCCAGAAGUAGUUUGUUGUAUUUUAUUAUUAUUAUUAUUAUUAUUAUUUUAUGAAUUGAUUUUAUUUGUGGUCUGCUUGUCUUAAACCUUUCAUGACUCAGGGUUUUGAAUGGUUUUAAUAGUUGAGCUACAUCUCAUUGUAUGAAAAGUGCUGCACAAAUAAAGUCUGAUAAUUGAUCAUUAAUCUGUCUUUUGUGGCCUAAAUAAAUCCACUGUUUCUGUGUAAGGCCAUCUCUUUAUCGCUACCAAAGUGGCUGUUGGAGUCUCCACAAAACACAAUUUCUCCUUCGCUCAGAGAUCUUGAAUGAUGUCCAACAAAUUAGUUAAGAAGUCCUUACCAUGACCAUCUCUCAACUUAACUAAGAACUUUUGUUGCUUCAAUUAAAACCAAACUUUUUGAGCGUAAUAUAUAUUCACAUGCAUGUGGAGAAAAAGAGGAAAAUGGUGUCUCUUUGUGGACUCUUUGCAUUCAUAAACUGACCUUUCAGGAGGUACCUGGUUCAGAGAAGGUCAAAGCUAAAAUAUUGAGUUCAGUAUGUCCUGUGAGGAUGCAGCUCCAGACACAAAGUGACCGUCUCUUUGAAGAAUCACCGCACUUGUUGACACUUUAGAUAGACUCACAAUUCUGAGGACACACGGAGCUGCUGCAUUGUUUUUUUUUUUGCCGUCUCAUGCUGGUUCACAGGUCUGCCUGCUGCAGCCAUUUAUUCAGGUAUUCAAUGUGAGUCCAGGACACAUGGCGAGCGCUGGAAGUUCGGUGCAGCCUCCGAGGUAAAAAGAUUAAAGAUAGCACUUUGAAAAGGUCAGUCUGACCGAGAUAUCUGCUCUGAUCAGCCCUGAGUGAGUCUUCAUCUGCAUAAAGCUAAAAAUAGAAAACUCGUGCAGAGAGCGAAGAGGCUGAGCUCUCGGGGGACCGGCUACUCUGGAGGAAAGGUGAAAGACAAGGUGUUAGUUUUGUAUCCUCUCUGCUACACAACACAGAUCCUGUCAGGUUAUUUAAGUACUCAGACUCUCAAGAUUUACGGUCGUCUAGGAAACCUUUCAAAGAUGUAAGAACCUAAAUUUGAAAUCUGGGUGUAUGGGUUUGUUUUUGAUUGUUCAAAGAGUCAGAAGAGCAGAUUUUACCUGGAUACAGCAGGUUAGAGUAGAACAGGUGUGAGCAGACUUAAAGCAUUUCUCCACAGUGCUGUAGGCCAGUCUGUGCCCUUUAAUUCAAAGAGCAUUUAAGAAUGAAGGCCUGCUCUCCUGAGCUGGAUCAGUGCAUGUGCAGUCUGAUUUUUUUCCUACUGAUGCCUGCAGGCGUAAAUUGCAAAGCUCUUUAUUUGAUAUUACCACUUGUAAUUAUAGUUGUCAUUAGUCACAAUGGCUGCAGGUAAACUAAUUAUGUUAAAGACCCACUCUGAUGAAAAUCGUGUUUUUCUUGUCUUUUAUGUGUGCAUAUGGCAUUUUUCUGAUGCUACAGGACGUAUCAUGAGAAAACUAAAAGCGAAAUUGCUUUUCUGAGUAUUUCUC
Molecule: non-coding RNA, 15312 nt
Organism: Xyrichtys novacula (pearly razorfish)
Lineage: Eukaryota; Metazoa; Chordata; Actinopteri; Labriformes; Labridae
Source: the annotation of a GenBank genome assembly